GCCGAAGUGGUGGAAUUGGUAGACACGCCAUCUUGAGGGGGUGGUGACCUCUGGUCGUGCGAGUUCGAGUCUCGCCUUCGGCACCA
This 86-nucleotide transfer RNA is filed under the name Desulfobacteraceae bacterium. Its description in RNAcentral is "tRNA-Leu". It matches the Rfam family "tRNA". Rfam says of the family: Transfer RNA (tRNA) molecules are approximately 80 nucleotides in length. Their secondary structure includes four short double-helical elements and three loops (D, anti-codon, and T loops). Further hydrogen bonds mediate the characteristic L-shaped molecular structure. tRNAs have two regions of fundamental functional importance: the anti-codon, which is responsible for specific mRNA codon recognition, and the 3' end, to which the tRNAs corresponding amino acid is attached (by aminoacyl-tRNA synthetases). tRNAs cope with the degeneracy of the genetic code in two manners: having more than one tRNA (with a specific anti-codon) for a particular amino acid; and 'wobble' base-pairing, i.e. permitting non-standard base-pairing at the 3rd anti-codon position. The record is from RNAcentral. Lineage: Bacteria; Pseudomonadati; Thermodesulfobacteriota; Desulfobacteria; Desulfobacterales; Desulfobacteraceae.